UCGAGAAUCUUCCGCAAUGGGCGAAAGCCUGACGGAGCGACGCCGCGUGCAGGAUGAAGGGCUUCGGCCUGUAAACUGCUUUUGUAGAUUAGAAAGUCAUUGAUCAAUCUAAGAAUAAGGGGUUGCUAAACUCGUGCCAGCAGCAGCGGUAAUACGAGUGCCCCAAGCGUUAUCCGGAAUCAUUGGGCGUAAAGGGUGUGUAGGUUGUCUCAUUAGUCUUCUGUCAAAUUCUUCGGCUUAACCGGGGGCUAGCAGAGGAAACGGUGAGACUAGAGGAGGCGAAAGGUCUAUGGAACUCUAGGUGUAGGGGUGAAAUCCGUUGAUAUCUAGGGGAACACCAAAAGCGAAGGCAAUAGACUGGCGUCUUCCUGACACUGAAACACGAAAGCGUGGGUAGCGAAUGGGAUUAGAUACCCGGGUAGUCC
RNAcentral lists this ribosomal RNA (425 nucleotides) under uncultured bacterium. RNAcentral describes it as "bacterial SSU rRNA". It matches the Rfam family "Bacterial small subunit ribosomal RNA", at positions 355 to 796 of the family's 1533-position model. The record is from RNAcentral.